UAGAGGAAGUAAAAGUCGUAACAAGGUUUCCGUAGGUGAACCUGCGGAAGGAUCAUUAUUGAAAUAAACCUGAUGAGUUGUUGCUGGUUCUCUAGGGAGCAUGUGCACACUUGUCAUCUUUAUAUCUCCACCUGUGCACCUUUUGUAGACCUGGAUAUCUCUCUGAAUGCUAGCCAUUCAGGUUUGAGGAUUGUCAUUUCAUGUGUCUCUCCUUACAUUUCUAGGUCUAUGUUUCUUCAUAUACUCCAAUGUAUGUUAUAGAAUGUAAUCAAUGGGCUCUUUUGUGCCUAUAAACCUAUACAACUUUCAGCAACGGAUCUCUUGGCUCUCGCAUCGAUGAAGAACGCAGCGAAAUGCGAUAAGUAAUGUGAAUUGCAGAAUUCAGUGAAUCAUCGAAUCUUUGAACGCACCUUGCGCUCCUUGGUAUUCCGAGGAGCAUGCCUGUUUGAGUGUCAUUAAUAUAUCAACCUCUUCAGAUUUUUGUUUGUUGAGCGUUGGAUGUGGGGGUAUUUGCUGGUCUUUCAAAGGUCAGCUCCCCUGAAAUGUAUUAGCGGAACAAUUUGUGGACCGUUCAUUGGUGUGAUAACUAUCUACGCUAUUGACGUGAAGCAGUUCAGCUUCUAACAGUCCAUUGACUUGGACAACUUUUCAUUAAUGUGACCUCAAAUCAGGUAGGACUACCCGCUGAACUUAAGCAUAUCAAUA
This 705-nucleotide ribosomal RNA is filed under the name Phlegmacium glaucocephalus. RNAcentral's name for it is "eukaryotic LSU rRNA". The stretch from base 302 to 455 matches the Rfam family "5.8S ribosomal RNA". Lineage: Eukaryota; Fungi; Basidiomycota; Agaricomycetes; Agaricales; Cortinariaceae. The record is from RNAcentral.